This 289-nucleotide ribosomal RNA is filed under the name uncultured Legionella sp. Its description in RNAcentral is "partial 16S ribosomal RNA". Lineage: Bacteria; Pseudomonadati; Pseudomonadota; Gammaproteobacteria; Legionellales; Legionellaceae. The record is from RNAcentral.
CUACUGGGGUAUCUAAUCCUGUUUGCUCCCCACGCUUUCGUGCCUCAGUGUCAGUAAUAGGCCAGGUAGCCGCCUUCGCCACCGGUGUUCCUUCCGAUAUCUACGCAUUUCACCGCUACACCGGAAAUUCCACUACCCUCUCCCUUACUCGAGUCAUACAGUCUUAACUGACCUUCCGAGGUUGAGCCCCGGGCUUUUACAGUUAACUUGUAUCACCACCUACGCACCCUUUACGCCCAGUAAUUCCGAUUAACGCUUGCACCCUCCGUAUUACCGCGGCUGCUGGCAC